CCUUCGGAACACGAUACCCUCGUGAAACUGAGGCUAAUAGUGUAUACCAUACCACCACUGGAAUGAGUGGUAUGCCUAACGCCCCGGCGCCGAAUGAUGUGGCUGCGGCCGAUUAGGUAUACGGUGGGGUAACGGCCCACCGUGCCAAUAAUCGGUACGGGUCAUGAUAGUGAGAACCCGGAGACGGAAUCUGAGACAAUAUUCCGGGCCCUACGGGGCGCAUCAGGCGCGAAACCUUUACACUGCACGACAGUGCGAUAGGGGGAUCCCAAGUGCACAUGCAUAGCGCCUGUGCUUUUCGGUACUGUAAGGUGGUACCAGAAUAAGGGCUGGGCAAGACCGGUGCCAGCCGCCGCGGUAAUACCGGCAGCCCGAGUGAUGGCCGAUCUUAUUGGGCCUAAAGCGUCCGUAGCUGGCCACGCAAGUCCAUCGGGAAAUCCACCUGCUCAACAGGUGGGCGCCCGGUAUAAACUGCGUGGCUUGGGACCGGAAGGCGCGACGGGUACGUCCGGGGUAGGAGUGAAAUCCCGUAAUCCUGGACGGACCGCCGAUGGCGAAAGCACGUCGCGAGAACGGAUCCGACAGUGAGGGACGAAAGCCAGGGUCUCGAACCGGAUUAGAUACCCGGGUAGUCCUGGCCGUAAACAAUGUCUGCUAGGUGUGGCUCCCACUACGAGUGGGUGCUGUGCCGUAUGGAAGCCGCUAAGCAGACCGCCUGGGAAGUACGUCCGCAAGGAUGAAACUUAAAGG
RNAcentral lists this ribosomal RNA (750 nucleotides) under uncultured archaeon. RNAcentral's name for it is "bacterial SSU rRNA". It matches the Rfam family "Archaeal small subunit ribosomal RNA", at positions 113 to 862 of the family's 1478-position model. The record is from RNAcentral.